AGAGUUUGAUCCUGGCUCAGAAUGAACGCUGGCGGCGUGCUUUACACAUGCAAGUCGAGCGAGGCGUGUAGCAAUACACAGUCGAGCGGCGAACGGGUGAGUAACGCGUGGAUGACCUGCCCUUUAGUGGGGAAUAACCCGGGGAAACUCGGGCUAAUACCGCAUAAGACCGAGAGGUGAGAGCGGGGUCGCAAGAUCUCGUGCUAAUGGAGGGGUCCGCGUUCGAUUAGCUAGUUGGUAGGGUAAUGGCCUACCAAGGCGACGAUCGAUAGCCGGCCUGAGAGGGUGAUCGGCCACACUGGAACUGAGGCACGGUCCAGACUCCUACGGGAGGCAGCAGUGGGGAAUUUUGCGCAAUGGGCAAACGCCUGACGCAGCAACGCCGCGUGGAGGAUGAAGGUCUUUGGAUUGUAAACUCCUGUCAGCAGGGAAAAAGGGAUAGGGCCUAAUACGUCUUAAACUUGAUUGUACCUGCAGAGGAAGCCCCGGCUAACUCUGUGCCAGCAGCCGCGGUAAUACAGAGGGGGCAAGCGUUAUUCGGAAUUAUUGGGCGUAAAGGGCGCGUAGGCGGCUUUUCAAGUGACGGGUGAAAUCCCUCGGCUUAACCGAGGAACUGCCUGUCAGACUGGAAGGCUUGAGACCGGGAGAGGUGAGUGGAAUUCCCAGUGUAGCGGUGAAAUGCGUAGAUAUUGGGAGGAACACCAGUGGCGAAGGCGGCUCACUGGACCGGAACUGACGCUGAGGCGCGAAAGCGUGGGGAGCAAACAGGAUUAGAUACCCUGGUAGUCCACGCCGUAAACGAUGAGUGCUUGGUGUAGCGGGUAUCGACCCCUGCUGUGCCGAAGUCAACACAUUAAGCACUCCGCCUGGGGAGUACGGUCGCAAGACUGAAACUCAAAGGAAUUGACGGGGGCCCGCACAAGCGGUGGAGCAUGUGGUCUAAUUCGAAGCAACGCGCAGAACCUUACCUGGGUUUGAACUGUACAGGCAAGUCUCAGAGAUGAGAGCCCCUCUUCGGAGGACUGUAUAGAGGUGCUGCAUGGCUGUCGUCAGCUCGUGUCGUGAGGU
RNAcentral lists this ribosomal RNA (1068 nucleotides) under metagenome. Its description in RNAcentral is "bacterial SSU rRNA". It matches the Rfam family "Bacterial small subunit ribosomal RNA", at positions 8 to 1073 of the family's 1533-position model. The record is from RNAcentral.